AUUGAACGCUGGCGGCAGGCCUAACACAUGCAAGUCGAGCGGAUGAAGGGAGCUUGCUCCUGGAUUCAGCGGCGGACGGGUGAGUAAUGCCUAGGAAUCUGCCUGGUAGUGGGGGAUAACGUCCGGAAACGGGCGCUAAUACCGCAUACGUCCUGAGGGAGAAAGUGGGGGAUCUUCGGACCUCACGCUAUCAGAUGAGCCUAGGUCGGAUUAGCUAGUUGGUGGGGUAAAGGCCUACCGAGGCGACGAUCCGUAGCUGGUCUGAGAGGAUGAUCAGUCACACUGGAACUGAGACACGGUCCAGACUCCUACGGGAGGCAGCAGUGGGGAAUAUUGGACAAUGGGCGAAAGCCUGAUCCAGCCGUGCCGCGUGUGUGAAGAAGGUCUUCGGAUUGUAAAGCACUUUAAGUUGGGAGGAAGGGCAGUAAGUUAAUACCUUGCUGUUUUGACGUUACCAACAGAAUAAGCACCGGCUAACUUCGUG
Molecule: ribosomal RNA, 484 nt
Filed under: uncultured bacterium
Lineage: Bacteria
Description: partial 16S ribosomal RNA
Rfam family: Bacterial small subunit ribosomal RNA
Source: RNAcentral